GUUAUAUGGUCAAGUGAAGAAGCGCAUACGGUGGAUGCCUUGGCAGUCAGAGGCGAUGAAAGACGUGGUAGCCUGCGAUAAGCUUUGGGGAGUCGGCAAACAGACUGUGAUCCAGAGAUCUCUGAAUGGGGGAACCCACUCAGCAUAAGCUGAGUAUCUUGUACUGAAUACAUAGGUGCAAGAGGCGAACCAGGGGAACUGAAACAUCUAAGUACCCUGAGGAAAAGAAAUCAA
This 234-nucleotide ribosomal RNA is filed under the name Pseudomonas putida. RNAcentral's name for it is "partial 23S ribosomal RNA". It matches the Rfam family "Bacterial large subunit ribosomal RNA", at positions 1 to 228 of the family's 2925-position model. Lineage: Bacteria; Pseudomonadati; Pseudomonadota; Gammaproteobacteria; Pseudomonadales; Pseudomonadaceae. The record is from RNAcentral.